CGGGGGGAGCAAGCGUUGUUCGGAUUUACUGGGCGUAAAGGGCGCGUAGGCGGCCACCGCAAGUCGGUUGUGAAAUCUCCGGGCUUAACCCGGAAAGGUCAAUCGAUACUGCGGGGCUAGAGUGCAGAAGGGGCAACUGGAAUUCUCGGUGUAGCGGUGAAAUGCGUAGAUAUCGAGAGGAACACCUGCGGCGAAGGCGGGUUGCUGGGCUGACACUGACGCUGAAGCGCGAAAGCUAGGGGAGCGAACGGGAUUAGAUACCCCGGUAGUCCUAGCCUUAAACGAUGAAUGCUUGGUGUCUGGGGUUUUAUAGUCCCCGGGUGCCGUCGCUAACGCUUUAAGCAUUCCGCCUGGGGAUACGGUCGCAAGACUG
RNAcentral lists this ribosomal RNA (373 nucleotides) under uncultured organism. RNAcentral describes it as "bacterial SSU rRNA". It matches the Rfam family "Bacterial small subunit ribosomal RNA", at positions 526 to 896 of the family's 1533-position model. The record is from RNAcentral.